UUAUAGUAGACUUCUAUCCGAUAGGGUUUGGAUGCCUUAGUUCAAAUAGGAAGAGAGAGCUUUGAUGACAUUUCUAGUGAACCCAAUAAAGGUCGAAGAGGCCAGCGUAAAAGCACAGAAAGGGAAGAAACUUGACCACAAUCUUGAUGUUCAAAUAGUGGGAUUUUUUUCCUAGUAGCUAGUUUUGAGUUCCCCUAGUUCAGCUACUUGAGGGAAAAUCAAUGGGGGCAAGUCUACGAGGAAGGGUCUAUGUCCCCUUUUUACAAAACAAAGCAUGUCUCUAUACGUAAUUUAAUCAAACUUUAUACAUCUUUGUGAAGAAAUAAAAGUAAGCGCUUUUAAGGCCAGUGUGGAGUAGCUAGAAUGGAUGGGAGGUAAU
This 379-nucleotide long non-coding RNA is filed under the name Capsicum annuum. Its description in RNAcentral is "long non-coding RNA (CANN_LNC003023)". Lineage: Eukaryota; Viridiplantae; Streptophyta; Magnoliopsida; Solanales; Solanaceae. The record is from RNAcentral.